GACGAACGCUGGCGGCGUGCUUAACACAUGCAAGUCGAACGGAAAGGCCCUGCUUUUGUGGGGUGCUCGAGUGGCGAACGGGUGAGUAACACGUGAGUAACCUGCCCUUGACUUUGGGAUAACUUCAGGAAACUGGGGCUAAUACCGGAUAGGAGCUCCUGCUGCAUGGUGGGGGUUGGAGAGUGUCGGCUGUUGGGGAUGGACUCGCGGCUUAUCAGCUUGUUGGUGGGGUAGGGGCUGACCAAGGCUGUGACGGGUAGCCGGCCUGAGAGGGUGACCGGCCACAUUGCGACUGAGAGACGGCCCAGACUCCUACGGGAGGCAGCAGUGGGGAAUAUUGCACAAUGGGCGGAAGCGUGAUGCAGCGACGUCGCGUGCGGGAUGACGUCUUUCGGGUUGUAAACCGCUUUCGCCUGUGACGAAGCGUGAGUGACGGUAAUUGGUAAAGAAGCACCGGCUAACUACGUG
This 468-nucleotide ribosomal RNA is filed under the name uncultured bacterium. RNAcentral's name for it is "partial 16S ribosomal RNA". It matches the Rfam family "Bacterial small subunit ribosomal RNA", at positions 28 to 507 of the family's 1533-position model. The record is from RNAcentral.